Molecule: ribosomal RNA, 490 nt
Filed under: uncultured bacterium
Lineage: Bacteria
Description: partial 16S ribosomal RNA
Rfam family: Bacterial small subunit ribosomal RNA
Source: RNAcentral
AUUGAACGCUGGCGGCAGGCCUAACACAUGCAAGUCGAACGGUAACAGGAAGAAGCUUGCUUCUUUGCUGACGAGUGGCGGACGGGUGAGUAAUGUCUGGGAAACUGCCUGAUGGAGGGGGAUAACUACUGGAAACGGUAGCUAAUACCGCAUAACGUCGCAAGACCAAAGAGGGGGACCUUCGGGCCUCUUGCCAUCGGAUGUGCCCAGAUGGGAUUGGCUAGUAGGUGGGGUAACGGCUCACCUAGGCGACGAUCCCUAGCUGGUCUGAGAGGAUGACCAGCCACACUGGAACUGAGACACGGUCCAGACUCCUACGGGAGGCAGCAGUGGGGAAUAUUGCACAAAGGGCGCAAGCCUGAUGCAGCCAUGCCGCGUGUAUGAAGAAGGCCUUCGGGUUGUAAAGUACUUUCAGCGGGGAGGAAGGGAGUAAAGUUAAUACCUUUGCUCAUUGACGUUACCCGCAGAAGAAGCACCGGCUAACUCCGUG